Lathyrus oleraceus (garden pea) is the source of this 108-nucleotide small nucleolar RNA. Lineage: Eukaryota; Viridiplantae; Streptophyta; Magnoliopsida; Fabales; Fabaceae. The record is from RefSeq and is a predicted model, not a curated record.
AUGCCAUGAUGCAUGCAAAGUCUCAUAAUGUCUUUGUACCUUUCUCAGGAUUUAAAGAUGGAUUCUUCAUUAGCUUGUCUAAAAUAAGUGAUUUCGUUUGUUAAAACU